Sander lucioperca (pikeperch) is the source of this 96-nucleotide long non-coding RNA. RefSeq lists it as uncharacterized. The transcript is spliced from 3 exons. The record is from RefSeq and is a predicted model, not a curated record. Lineage: Eukaryota; Metazoa; Chordata; Actinopteri; Perciformes; Percidae.
GUGUCUAAUGUGAACAAAAAUCUGUGAAAUUGGUCCAGUAUUGAGGGUCAACGCUAUAACAGGCAGCCAUGGACCAGGCUGUAACGUAACCCUACA